AACGAACGCUGGCGGCGUGCUUAACACAUGCAAGUCGCGUGCGCAGUUUCCGUAGCAAUACGGGGAUGGGCGCACGGCGCACGGGUGCGUAACACGUGGGCAAUCUGCCCUCCGAUGGGGAAUACCCCCGCGAAAGCGGGACUAAUUCCGCAUAACAUUCCUUGGAUUAACUUUCGAGGAUUCAAAGCAGCAAUGCGUCGGAGGAGGAGCCCGCGCCCGAUUAGCUAGUUGGUGAGGUAACGGCUCACCAAGGCAAUGAUCGGUAGCUGG
RNAcentral lists this ribosomal RNA (270 nucleotides) under uncultured bacterium. Its description in RNAcentral is "partial 16S ribosomal RNA". It matches the Rfam family "Bacterial small subunit ribosomal RNA", at positions 29 to 290 of the family's 1533-position model. The record is from RNAcentral.